UUUACCCUGGAGUGUGCGUUAGUGGGAUUAAGUCCCUGAGCCGAUAAGCAAUCCCAAAGGGUUAGUAUUUGAGGGCUAUUGAGCAAGCUCGGCUCGUACCGAGAAGCCUACGGUCAUCAUUGCUGAUCCGCCUUGAACCAGCUGGUUCAAGGGUCCAAAUCUCCAACGGCACUCUGGGGUAUCU
RNAcentral lists this non-coding RNA (184 nucleotides) under Vibrio scophthalmi. Its description in RNAcentral is "6S RNA". It matches the Rfam family "6S / SsrS RNA". From Rfam's summary of the family: E. coli 6S RNA was the first non coding RNA to be sequenced, but its function was unknown until recently. It consists of 184 nucleotides that fold into an extended hairpin structure with a large single-stranded internal bulge. The 6S RNA specifically associates with RNA polymerase holoenzyme containing the sigma70 specificity factor. The record is from RNAcentral. Lineage: Bacteria; Pseudomonadati; Pseudomonadota; Gammaproteobacteria; Vibrionales; Vibrionaceae.